Molecule: RNA transcript, 2631 nt
Organism: Nycticebus coucang (slow loris)
Lineage: Eukaryota; Metazoa; Chordata; Mammalia; Primates; Lorisidae
Exons: 4
Source: RefSeq, a predicted model, not a curated record
ACGGGGAGGGCAGGGGGAAGCGGCGCCCGCCCUGCGCUCCCAGCCGACCCGGGAGCGCCCCGGGCGCGGGGCGCUGCGGACGCGGGGCGCGGGGCAGCGGGCACGGGGCGGCGCCGGCCCCGGGCGGCUCUCCCACUAGGGGUAGCUGUUGCCUGAACGCCGGAGCGCUCCCCUCUUGCCGCUUGCCUCUCCCAGCGCAGCCCCGGCCGCCGGGCGCACCCGUCCCGUUCGUCCCCGGACGUUGCUCUCUGCCCCGGGAACGUCGAGACAGGAGCGCCCGAACUGAGCCACCUUCGUGGACCCCGAGCGCGGCGGCCCGACUCACCGCGGAGGCGCCCGAACGCGUAAAUCGCGGGGACUUAUCUGGAGCCGCGGGGCUUGAGCCAGAGUCCGAGGCUGCCGCCGCCCGCGUCCCGUGCGCCUCCCUCCCAGGGGGACCAGCUGCCUAACUUCUUCUCGGGACAGAGAUAGCGCUCGCGCCGGGGGCCGAAGUAGGAGCUGGCUGGGCUCUACAGGUCGCUGGCAAAUCGCUUUUGGCAGCGAAGAAACAAGUUCGGAGAAGUCAACUGCAGGACAAGGGCUCCAACGGGCGUGCAAGUAGAUGCUCGCCUUGGGCAGAUAUUCUUCCCUCCGGUUUUCGCGGCUCUGGUAGGACCCUCUGCCCCAUGAGUUCCCCACAAGACCCGUGGUUCUCACAGGUCAAGCCCUUGAGGGUGCGUGGAAGACGGAGGGGCCGGGGGGGCACGUGAACGUGCCCUCUUAUCCCCUUCUUCAAUCAGGCGAUUUCUCUGCUGCCCAGGGCAGCAGCGCACACCCCAGGAACUUCUUACCUAAGGGAAGCCAGAUUUGUUUCUACUGUUUCUCUUAGUACCCCUAAACUGCCCCUCACCACACUGGGUAGGGUCUCUCAGGUGGUCUAGAGAAUCCUCCGUUAGCAAACCUGGCUGCGGGCGGGGAGUUUCACUUACCUGCCCCCUACUCCAGCGGGGCACUUCUCGGUUAGGUGAUUUUCCUCUUUUCUGGACCCUUUUACAGGGGUGGGGGCGGGGAGAAGUAGAAAGAGAAGUCUCCUGCUUGGCAGGACUCUGAGAAGAAGUUUGGGGGUCUUCUUCUGAGGCUGCAUUUUCCUGGGCAGAGGCCAGAAGAUGUGUGUGGGGGUUCUGACUUUUGUUGGGCAAUCUGUCAAGCCUUGAUUCCUUGAUUUCUGGGAGGUGCCAGUGUAGGGCUUGUGUCCUGCUUUGCCUACACAGCAGUUGGGACAGAGGCAUGGGAUAGUUCUCCAAGCUUUCUUCCCACAUUUAGUUUUAGAAAAUGAAUAAGUUGCCAUGGGCUGGGAGAGUCUUUCUGUGCUGCCUGGGAUCUAGAGGGGUGUGGUGUGCAUGUGUGUAUGCUCACGUGUGUGUGUGUGUGCAUAUGUGUACAUGUGUCUGUAUGUGCUCUGUGUGCAUUUGCCUGAAUGCAUGUGCAUGCAUGUGGAAGGCCUGGUCUGGGCUGCUGUAAGAUUGGGGCUAGGCCCAGUCGGCAGCACCCGGAUCCAUGCUGCUUCUAGCCCUGGGGACUCUCAGGAUAGCAGUACUUGUUCUUAGGGCUUUCAUCUGUACUUGGGGAUCUGUUGCUGUUUCUUGGGCAGACAGACUGAAUUCCAUACUUCAGGAUUCCAGAACACUGGACAAGGCGCUCAGGUCCAUCUGGCUCCCACAGCUUUUUGUGCAGACCUUCUGUUCUCCAGAGCAGCCCCAGUGCCCCCUGUCCUGCUCCAGGGCUGUACCCCCAGCUCCAAGUAGCACUGGCUCCUCCUGCCUGUUGCUCACACUGUUCCGUCCCAUUUCAGAGGUCAGGAGGGAGAGUGCUGGCCCAAGGCCAAGACCCACCCAGGACUUGGUGGAGUGCCAGGCAUCCUCCAGGGCCUGGCAGGCUCUGCUGUGGGGGACUAGGCCUCCCCUGCCCACCUUCUUGCCUGCCUUCUCACAACUCCAGCAGGGGGCGGGCAGGGGAAAGAAAAAGAGGGACAAGUCUGACUGGGUCCUUUGGUGUCCAGGAGCAACUUGGAGAGGGGUUGGGGGAGGGGACAGGGAGCAGGGCCCUGGCACAGCCAGGAGGGUUGGCCUUUGGAUGGCCUCCUGCUCCCAAGACAUCCUCUAGAGCAGUGGUUCUCAACCUUCCUAAUGCCAUGGCCCUUUAAUACAGUUCCUGUGGGUUGUGACCCACAGGUUGAGAACCAUUGCUCUAGAAGCUGGGGCUGUCUGUUCACGCAGGGGUGGGCUUGGUGGACCAAGCAUGGGGUGUGGUGGGUGAGUGUGCUAUGGGAAUAGCCUCUGUCUCUCUUCUACUAUCGCAAAACCAAGAGCCCAGGGAGGUUGUCACUGAGACUUCCUACUGGGGUGGAGUGUUCCAGUAGCCCUCUGUGUUCCCUGCAGGAUCUCUGGAGGCUUCAAUGAGGAAGUAGUCCAGCCCUCACACCUGGAGAAGAGAGUUGGAGAGCUCCAGCCUGGGCAGUGGGUGUUUCACCACCGAUUUCUGUGUCUGCUGUCCACUCCAGACCUGCUCCUCCCAGGCUGGCUGAGCCAGGAUCCUCUGCAGUGACUAACCGGAACCAGUACCAGGGAGACGCCCAAUAAACCUUUGUGAAAU